RNAcentral lists this transfer RNA (73 nucleotides) under Yoda sp. d ASH-2021. RNAcentral's name for it is "tRNA-Lys". The record is from RNAcentral. Lineage: Eukaryota; Metazoa; Hemichordata; Enteropneusta; Torquaratoridae.
CUCCAAGAAGCUUCAACUUCAGAGCAAUAAAAUUUUAACCUAUAAUCUGGUGCAUAAUAACUACCCUUGAAGA